This is a long non-coding RNA of Drosophila albomicans, 646 nucleotides long. RefSeq lists it as uncharacterized. Lineage: Eukaryota; Metazoa; Arthropoda; Insecta; Diptera; Drosophilidae. The transcript is spliced from 3 exons. The record is from RefSeq and is a predicted model, not a curated record.
UUUCGCUUCUUUGUAUCAGAAGUGUUGUGAAGUCCACAAUGUGAAUAUAAUAAUUUCAAAAAUAUAAUCGAAGUACCUAUUUAUUAAUAUUUCUAUGAAUUAUACAAAAUGAAAAUUUAUUGAAUGUGUUAGUGCUAAACAUUAUAUUUCUUGUGUACGCUCUCAUAGGCCGUCCAUUCGAUGGUCUUGUAGCGACUGCGCUCCUGUCGGCUGCCGUGUUCCGUUUCCAUUUGUUCAUUUGGAUUGCUGCAUAUUUGCGUAAAUUGAGGAAAGCAAUUGUGGGAAAUGAGUUGGGAUGAUGUUUGGCUGGCUACGUUGGCUGUUGGUUCGUUUCGAUCGACCACAGACCCAAUCAACACUUACCCGCAGCAGACUGACGAUUUGUUAUAGAGAUCAAGCGUGAACCGUUUGCUGCUUCAUUGCAGCCAACUGAACGCACGUUUGCACAAAAGCAACAAAUUUUGCAUAACUCAAAUGCUGAAUUGGACUCCGAAAUGAGAAUUAUUAAGUAUACGCGAGCGAGAGAGACGCAGCAGCGGAAAUCUUUUUUCAUUUAUUGAAAGACCAAAAUGUAUUCUGAUUAAAUUAUGUAUUCAAUGAUUCUUCUCGUACUUGUAUUCAGCAAUUUAACAAAUAAAUUGUGUAG